GUCACUGACUAUUAGACUACCCGGUAGUCCCAGCCGUAAACAAUGUGCGUUAGGUGUGUCGGUAACCACGUGUUACUGAUGCGCCGAAGAGAAAUCGUGAAACGCACCACCUGGGAAGUACGGUCGCAAGGCUGAAACUUAAAGGAAUUGGCGGGGGAGCACCACAACAGGUGGAGCCUGCGGUUUAAUUGGAUUCAACGCCGGACAUCUCACCGGAUAAGACAGCUGAAUGAUUGUCAAUCUGAAGGUUUUACAUGACUAGCUG
RNAcentral lists this ribosomal RNA (265 nucleotides) under uncultured archaeon. Its description in RNAcentral is "partial 16S ribosomal RNA". It matches the Rfam family "Archaeal small subunit ribosomal RNA", at positions 716 to 982 of the family's 1478-position model. The record is from RNAcentral.